This 1737-nucleotide ribosomal RNA is filed under the name Salmonella enterica. Its description in RNAcentral is "bacterial LSU rRNA". It matches the Rfam family "Bacterial large subunit ribosomal RNA", at positions 1223 to 2925 of the family's 2925-position model. Lineage: Bacteria; Pseudomonadati; Pseudomonadota; Gammaproteobacteria; Enterobacterales; Enterobacteriaceae. The record is from RNAcentral.
GUUGGGUAGGGGAGCGUUCUGUAAGCCUGCGAAGGUGGCCUGUGAGGGUUGCUGGAGGUAUCAGAAGUGCGAAUGCUGACAUAAGUAACGAUAAAGCGGGUGAAAAGCCCGCUCGCCGGAAGACCAAGGGUUCCUGUCCAACGUUAAUCGGGGCAGGGUGAGUCGACCCCUAAGGCGAGGCCGAAAGGCGUAGUCGAUGGGAAACGGGUUAAUAUUCCCGUACUUGGUGUUACUGCGAAGGGGGGACGGAGAAGGCUAUGUUGGCCGGGCGACGGUUGUCCCGGUUUAAGCGUGUAGGUGUGUGUUCCAGGUAAAUCCGGUUCACUUUAACACUGAGGCGUGACGACGAGGCACUACGGUGCUGAAGCAACAAAUGCCCUGCUUCCAGGAAAAGCCUCUAAGCAUCAGGUAACACGAAAUCGUACCCCAAACCGACACAGGUGGUCAGGUAGAGAAUACCAAGGCGCUUGAGAGAACUCGGGUGAAGGAACUAGGCAAAAUGGUGCCGUAACUUCGGGAGAAGGCACGCUGACACGUAGGUGAAGUGAUUUACUCAUGGAGCUGAAGUCAGUCGAAGAUACCAGCUGGCUGCAACUGUUUAUUAAAAACACAGCACUGUGCAAACACGAAAGUGGACGUAUACGGUGUGACGCCUGCCCGGUGCCGGAAGGUUAAUUGAUGGGGUCAGCGCAAGCGAAGCUCCUGAUCGAAGCCCCGGUAAACGGCGGCCGUAACUAUAACGGUCCUAAGGUAGCGAAAUUCCUUGUCGGGUAAGUUCCGACCUGCACGAAUGGCGUAAUGAUGGCCAGGCUGUCUCCACCCGAGACUCAGUGAAAUUGAACUCGCUGUGAAGAUGCAGUGUACCCGCGGCAAGACGGAAAGACCCCGUGAACCUUUACUAUAGCUUGACACUGAACAUUGAGCCUUGAUGUGUAGGAUAGGUGGGAGGCUUUGAAGCGUGGACGCCAGUCUGCGUGGAGCCGACCUUGAAAUACCACCCUUUAAUGUUUGAUGUUCUAACGUGGACCCGUGAUCCGGGUUGCGGACAGUGUCUGGUGGGUAGUUUGACUGGGGCGGUCUCCUCCUAAAGAGUAACGGAGGAGCACGAAGGUUGGCUAAUCCUGGUCGGACAUCAGGAGGUUAGUGCAAUGGCAUAAGCCAGCUUGACUGCGAGCGUGACGGCGCGAGCAGGUGCGAAAGCAGGUCAUAGUGAUCCGGUGGUUCUGAAUGGAAGGGCCAUCGCUCAACGGAUAAAAGGUACUCCGGGGAUAACAGGCUGAUACCGCCCAAGAGUUCAUAUCGACGGCGGUGUUUGGCACCUCGAUGUCGGCUCAUCACAUCCUGGGGCUGAAGUAGGUCCCAAGGGUAUGGCUGUUCGCCAUUUAAAGUGGUACGCGAGCUGGGUUUAGAACGUCGUGAGACAGUUCGGUCCCUAUCUGCCGUGGGCGCUGGAGAACUGAGGGGGGCUGCUCCUAGUACGAGAGGACCGGAGUGGACGCAUCACUGGUGUUCGGGUUGUCAUGCCAAUGGCACUGCCCGGUAGCUAAAUGCGGAAGAGAUAAGUGCUGAAAGCAUCUAAGCACGAAACUUGCCCCGAGAUGAGUUCUCCCUGAGACUUAGAGUCUCCUGAAGGAACGUUGAAGACGACGACGUUGAUAGGCCGGGUGUGUAAGCGCAGCGAUGCGUUGAGCUAACCGGUACUAAUGAACCGUGAGGCUUAACCUUACAACGCCGAAG